AUUGAACGCUGGCGGCAUGCUUUACACAUGCAAGUCGAACGGCAGCGCGGGCUUCGGCCUGGCGGCGAGUGGCGAACGGGUGAGUAAUGCAUCGGAACGUGCCCAGUAGUGGGGGAUAGCCCGGCGAAAGCCGGAUUAAUACCGCAUACGACCUGAGGGUGAAAGCGGGGGGCCGAAAGGCCUCGCGCUAUUUGAGCGGCCGAUGUCGGAUUAGCUAGUUGGUGGGGUAAAGGCUUACCAAGGCGACGAUCCGUAGCUGGUCUGAGAGGACGACCAGCCACACUGGGACUGAGACACGGCCCAGACUCCUACGGGAGGCAGCAGUGGGGAAUUUUGGACAAUGGGGGCAACCCUGAUCCAGCCAUGCCGCGUGCGGGAAGAAGGCCUUCGGGUUGUAAACCGCUUUUGUUCGGGAAGAAAUCCUCUGGGCUAAUACCCCGGGGGGAUGACGGUACCGGAAGAAUAAGCACCGGCUAACUACGUG
Molecule: ribosomal RNA, 484 nt
Filed under: uncultured bacterium
Lineage: Bacteria
Description: partial 16S ribosomal RNA
Rfam family: Bacterial small subunit ribosomal RNA
Source: RNAcentral